Molecule: non-coding RNA, 190 nt
Filed under: Candidatus Omnitrophota bacterium
Lineage: Bacteria; Pseudomonadati; Candidatus Omnitrophota
Description: Candidatus Omnitrophica bacterium (groundwater metagenome) 6S RNA
Rfam family: 6S / SsrS RNA
About the family: E. coli 6S RNA was the first non coding RNA to be sequenced, but its function was unknown until recently.
Source: RNAcentral
CCAACCCUGCGCUGCGCGUGCAGGUCCUAGUCAACGUGAGCCAACACCACGUUUCCGGGAAUCCGGCUUCCGUGGGGGCGGGCACGCCCGGCACGUGAGCAUCACGGGACGCCAUGGCCCCUCCGGAGAGGAUACCCACCUGUCGAGGAGGGUUCAGCGUGGACGGGGCCCACGGCAGCGCGGGGCGUUU